UACAGAGACUGCGAGCGUUAUUCGGAUUCACUGGGCGUAAAGGGUGCGCAGGCGGCCGUGUGUGUGAGGCGUGAAAGCCCGGGGCUUAACCCCGGAAUUGCACCUCAAACUACACGGCUAGAGCAUUGGAGAGGGUAGCGGAAUUCACGGUGUAGCAGUGAAAUGCGUAGAUAUCGUGAGGAAUACCAGAGGCGAAGGCGGCUACCUGGACAAUUGCUGACGCUCAGGCACGAAAGCGUGGGGAGCAAAAGGG
This 253-nucleotide ribosomal RNA is filed under the name uncultured bacterium. RNAcentral describes it as "partial 16S ribosomal RNA". It matches the Rfam family "Bacterial small subunit ribosomal RNA", at positions 524 to 776 of the family's 1533-position model. The record is from RNAcentral.